GAUGAAGACGCAGCGAAAUGCGAUAAGUAAUGUGAAUUGCAGAAUUCAGUGAAUCAUCGAAUCUUUGAACGCACAUUGCGCCCCCUGGUAUUCCGGGGGGCAUGCCUGUCCGAGCGUCAUUACAACCCUCAAGCUCAGCUUGGUGUUGGGCCCCGCCGCCCCGGCGGGCCCUAAAGUCAGUGGCGGUGCCGUCCGGCUCCGAGCGUAGUAAUUCUUCUCGCUCUGGAGGUCCGGUCGUGUGCUCGCCAGCAACCCCCAAUUUUUUCAGGUUGACCUCGGAUCAGGUAGGGAUACCCGCUGAACUUAAGCAUAUCAAUAAGCGGAGGA
This 327-nucleotide unclassified non-coding RNA is filed under the name soil metagenome. RNAcentral's name for it is "partial contains 5.8S ribosomal RNA, internal transcribed spacer 2, and large subunit ribosomal RNA". The stretch from base 1 to 119 matches the Rfam family "5.8S ribosomal RNA", at positions 35 to 154 of the family's 154-position model. The record is from RNAcentral.